GAUUAACGCUGGCGGCGUGCAUAACACAUGCAAGUCGAACGAUGAAACGUAACUGAUUUCUUCGGAAUGAUUUUAAGUGGAUUAGUGGCGGACGGGUGAGUAACACGUGAGUAACCUGCCUUGGAGAAGGGGAUAGCCUUUGGAAACGAAGGAUAAUACCCUAUGAUAUGAUAAUAUCUCAUGAUAUUAUCAUCAAAGAUUUAUCGCUCUAAGAUGGACUUGCGUCUGAUUGGUUAGUUGGUGAGGUAACAGCUCACGAAGGCAGCUGUCCGUAGCCGGCUUGAGAGAGUGUACGGCCACAUUGGGACUGGGACCCGGCCCAGACUCCUGCGGGAGGGAGCAGUGGGGAGUUUUGCACAAUGGGGGAAACAAUGAUGCAGCGAGGCCGCGUGCUGUAGAAGGCCUUGGGGUUGUAAAAAUCUUUUGUAUGGGAAGAAAAUGACAGUACCAUACGAAUAAGGACCGGCUAAUUACGUG
This 477-nucleotide ribosomal RNA is filed under the name uncultured bacterium. RNAcentral describes it as "partial 16S ribosomal RNA". It matches the Rfam family "Bacterial small subunit ribosomal RNA", at positions 28 to 507 of the family's 1533-position model. The record is from RNAcentral.